RNAcentral lists this ribosomal RNA (253 nucleotides) under uncultured bacterium. RNAcentral's name for it is "partial 16S ribosomal RNA". It matches the Rfam family "Bacterial small subunit ribosomal RNA", at positions 524 to 776 of the family's 1533-position model. The record is from RNAcentral.
GACGGAGGAUGCAAGUGUUAUCCGGAAUCACUGGGCGUAAAGCGUCUGUAGGUGGUCAAAUAAGUCAACUGUUAAAUCUUGAGGCUCAACCUCAAAACCGCAGUCGAAACUAUUAGACUAGAGUAUAGUAGGGGUAAAGGGAAUUUCCAGUGGAGCGGUGAAGUGCGUAGAGAUUGGAAAGAACACCGAUGGCGAAGGCACUUUACUGGGCUAUGACUAACACUCAGAGACGAAAGCUAGGGUAGCAAAUGGG